Molecule: unclassified non-coding RNA, 216 nt
Organism: Pongo abelii (Sumatran orangutan)
Lineage: Eukaryota; Metazoa; Chordata; Mammalia; Primates; Hominidae
Rfam family: Metazoan signal recognition particle RNA
About the family: The signal recognition particle (SRP) is a universally conserved ribonucleoprotein.
Source: Ensembl
GCUGGACUUGGUAGCGCAUGCCUGUAGUCCCAGCUACUCAGGAGGCUGAGGCAGGAGAGUCCUUGAACCUGGGAGGCAGAGGUUGUAGUGAGCCGAGAUCAUGCCACUGCAGUCCAGCCUGGGCAACUACUCUGUCAUCCAGGCUGGAGUGCAAUGGCAUGAUCUCAGCUCACUGCAACCUCUGCCUCCCAGGUUCAAGCGAUUCUCCUGCCUCAG